AUGGGUCUUCUUGAAACCCUGAAAGACUGGGACUGGGACUUUGACCAUAGACUACAUGGGGUUGGCUUAAAGAUCUCUGGUAGUAUAACUCUAGUGCAUAUGCUUCCCCAGAUAUCUAGUUCUUGUUCAUCCAAGAUGUAUCGCACAACCAAUCUCUUGGUCACCCUCAUCAUCCUAAGCAUCACUUCAUUUUCACAAGUGGUGCAUGCACUAGCACUACAACCCCAGUAUGCCCAUGGCGGUGGCUGCAUCCCUGCCGAGAGGGCCGCCUUGCUUGCCUUCCAGAAGGGGAUCACAAGUGACGGCGCUGAUAUCCUCGCCUCGUGGGAAGGGUAUGAUUGCUGUCGGUGGAGGGGCAUCAGCUGCAGCAACCGAACAGGCCAUGUCAUCAAGCUUCACCUUCGCAAUACGUUUCCGGGCCCUGACGCCUAUAACUACAAUGGGUGUGAUGAUGCCAAUUCAUUGUUCGGCAAGAUAAGUCCCUCUCUGCUUUCCUUGAAGAAUCUAGAGCACAUGGAUCUUAGCAUGAACUGUUUGCUAGGGCCAAAUAGCCAUAUUCCUCAGUUUUUGGGAUCCAUGGAUAACUUGAGAUACCUUAACCUCUCUGGCAUUCCAUUUACCGGUGGAGUUCCUUCUCAGCUUGGUAACUUGUCUAAGUUGCAACAUCUUGACCUUGGCGAGGGUUAUUCCGGGAUGUACUCAGCGGACAUCACUUGGUUAGCAAAGCUACCCUCGCUGCGGUAUCUUAGUAUGAGCACAAUAAAUCUCUCAAGGAUAGCUGACUGGCCUCGUCCCUUGAAUAUGAUUCCAUCACUGAGAGUUAUCAAUCUUGCUGGAUGCUCACUUGAUACUGCAAGUCAAUCGCUUCCCUACCUUAACCUCACAAAACUUGAGAAGCUUGAUUUGUCCUCGAAUAAUCUAGGCCACUCAAUUGCAUCAAGUUGGUUUUGGAAAGUGACGAGCCUCAAAUAUCUCAGCCUUCGUGCGACUCAGUUAUUUGGAAAUUUUCCGGAUGCACUAGGAAACAUGACAUCACUCAAGGUACUUGAUUUGGCAUUCAACAAUUUGAAUAAGACUGAAAACCUUCAAAGUCUUCUUAAAAACCUUUGCUGCUUGGAAAUCCUCGACCUCUCUAAAAAUGUUAUGAAUGGAAAUAUAGUGGCGGUGAUGGAGGGGUUGCCGGAAUGCGCACAGGAAAAGUUGCUAGAGCUGCAUUUCAGUGAAAACAAUUUCAUCAGGACCUUGCCAAAUUUUAUAGGGGAAUUCAGCAGCUUGAGCAUGCUUGACCUGUCCAGAAACAACCUUGCUGGACCUAUACCGCCAGGGCUUUGGAAUUUGACCCGUCUAGCCAUCCUUGAUCUCAGCUGGAAUCAACUCAACGGGAACGUACCAACUGAAAUUUCUUCUCUGAAGAAUCUGGUUUCUCUAAGACUAAGCAACAACAGACUUGGUGGUGCAAUCACAGAAGGACACUUUGCAAAUUUAAAAAGUUUAAAGAAAAUAGACUUGUCUUCCAAUAAUUUGAAGAUUGCACUGGAUUCAGAUUGGCUUUCUCCCUUUAGGCUACAGUCUGGAGAUUUUGCAUCUUGCCAAAUAGGGCCUUUAUUUCCAGCUUGGCUUCAGCAGCUGCGGGGAAUCGAUUCACUUAACAUUUCAAACACUGGUUUAGUGGACAAAUUUCCUGAUUGGUUCUGGUAUACAUUUUCACGGGCAACUGAUCUCGACAUCUCUAACAACCAAAUAAGUGGCACCUUGCCAGCACAUCUGGAUGGCAUGGCUUUGGAAAAACUCCACCUAGGUUCAAACCGGCUCACCGGGUCAAUGCCUUCGUUGCCUGCAAAUAUUACUUGGUUAGACAUCUCCAAUAAUAACUUUUCAGGAGUAAUACCAUCCAAUUUUGAAGCCUCCCGACUUCAAAUCUUGAUUGUCUAUUCAAAUCGAAUUGGUGGGUACAUUCCCGAAUCUAUUUGCAAACUGCAACAGUUAGUGUAUCUGGAUUUGUCAAACAAUUUUUUGGAGGGUGAAAUUCCUCAAUGUUUUGACAUCAAAAAACUACAGUUUCUUCUGCUCAGUAACAACAGUUUAUCAGGAAAAUUCCCAACAUUUUUGCAGAACAACACUGCUAUGGUGUUUUUGGACCUUGCAUGGAAUAAGUUGUCUGGAAGAUUGCCUACAUGGAUAGGAGAUCUGGGGAAAUUAAGAUUUGUACUACUGUGCCACAAUGCAUUUUGUGAUAAUAUUCCGGUCGAAGUAACAAGGCUCAGGAAUCUUCAAUACUUGGAUCUAUCAGCCAAUAAUUUCUCUGGUGCAAUACCUUGGCAUCUAUCAAACCUGACAUUUAUGAGAAGGAUACAAAAGGAAUUCAUGGGUAUAUAUGACACAUAUAAUGCAUCCGCGCGCAUUGGCGAGAUGGGAGCUGGUCACCUGGGAGAAAUAUUGCCAGUAGUAACAAAAGGACAUCAACUUUUAUAUGGUGGAGCAAUUGUUUAUGUUGUGAGCAUCGAUCUAUCAGACAACUCCUUGACCGGUGAAAUCCCUACACACAUCACUUCCCUUGCCGAGCUCAUGAAUUUGAACCUGUCAUCGAACAAAUUGAGCGGACAAAUCCCAAACAUGAUCGGGGCCAUGCGGUCACUGGAAUCGCUCGACCUCUCUGAGAACAAGCUCUCUGGUGAAAUCCCAUGGAGCUUGUCAAGCCUGACGUAUUUGUCCGCCCUUAACCUGUCCUACAACAAUUUGUCCGGAAGGAUACCUUCUGGCCCGCAACUUGACACCCUCAUCUCGGACAACAUAUACAUCGGCAACAGCGGGCUUUGUGGGCCUCCUCUCAGCAGAAGUUGUUCAGGAAAUAAUUCUUCCAUCAUUCAUGGUGACGUCGGAAGCAGCAAGCAAGAGCUUGUUCCACUAACCUUUUAUUUCGGCCUUGUGCUGGGACUUGUGGUGGGGCUCUGA
Molecule: ribosomal RNA, 2952 nt
Filed under: Triticum aestivum (bread wheat)
Lineage: Eukaryota; Viridiplantae; Streptophyta; Magnoliopsida; Poales; Poaceae
Description: partial small subunit ribosomal RNA
Source: RNAcentral